UAGCUGGUCUGAGAGGAUGRCCAGCCACACUGGAACUGAGACACGGUCCAGACUCCUACGGGAGGCAGCAGUGGGGAAUAUUGGACAAUGGGGGCAACCCUGAUCCAGCAAUGCCGCGUGUGUGAAGAAGGCCUGAGGGUUGUAAAGCACUUUCAGUGGGGAGGAGGAUUGAUWGGUUAAGAGCUAAUUAAUUGGACGUUACCCACAGAAGAAGCACCGGCUAACUCCGUGCCAGCAGCCGCGGUAAUACGGAGGGUGCGAGCGUUAAUCGGAAUUACUGGGCGUAAAGGGUGCGUAGGUGGUUUAUUAAGUUAUCUGUGAAAUCCCUGGGCUUAACCUGGGCAGGUCAGAUAAUACUGGUUAACUCGAGUAUGG
RNAcentral lists this ribosomal RNA (375 nucleotides) under uncultured Legionella sp. RNAcentral's name for it is "bacterial SSU rRNA". It matches the Rfam family "Bacterial small subunit ribosomal RNA", at positions 284 to 651 of the family's 1533-position model. The record is from RNAcentral. Lineage: Bacteria; Pseudomonadati; Pseudomonadota; Gammaproteobacteria; Legionellales; Legionellaceae.